This 301-nucleotide ribosomal RNA is filed under the name uncultured bacterium. RNAcentral describes it as "partial 16S ribosomal RNA". It matches the Rfam family "Bacterial small subunit ribosomal RNA", at positions 509 to 807 of the family's 1533-position model. The record is from RNAcentral.
CAGUAGCCACGGUAAUACAGAGGGUGCGAGCGUUAAUCGGAUUUACUGGGCGUAAAGCGUGCGUAGGCGGCUUCUUAAGUCGGAUGUGAAAUCCCUGAGCUUAACUUAGGAAUUGCAUUCGAUACUGGGAAGCUAGAGUAUGGGAGAGGAUGGUAGAAUUCCAGGUGUAGCGGUGAAAUGCGUAGAGAUCUGGAGGAAUACCGAUGGCGAAGGCAGCCAUCUGGCCUAAUACUGACGCUGAGGUACGAAAGCACGGGGAGCAAACAGGAUUAGAGACCCCAGUAGUCCCUGUCUCUUAUAC